RNAcentral lists this ribosomal RNA (492 nucleotides) under uncultured bacterium. RNAcentral describes it as "partial 16S ribosomal RNA". It matches the Rfam family "Bacterial small subunit ribosomal RNA", at positions 29 to 507 of the family's 1533-position model. The record is from RNAcentral.
AGCGAACGCUGGCGGUAGGCCUAACACAUGCAAGUCGAACGGCAGCACAGUAAGAGCUUGCUCUUACGGGUGGCGAGUGGCGGACGGGUGAGGAAUACAUCGGAAUCUACUUUUUCGUGGGGGAUAACGUAGGGAAACUUACGCUAAUACCGCAUACGACCUACGGGUGAAAGCAGGGGAUCUUCGCACCUUGCGCGAUUGAAUGAGCCGAUGUCGGAUUAGCUAGUUGGCGGGGUAAAGGCCCACCAAGGCGACGAUCCGUAGCUGGUCUGAGAGGAUGAUCAGCCACACUGGAACUGAGACACGGUCCAGACUCCUACGGGAGGCAGCAGUGGGGAAUAUUGGACAAUGGGCGCAAGCCUGAUCCAGCCAUACCGCGUGGGUGAAGAAGGCCUUCGGGUUGUAAAGCCCUUUUGUUGGGAAAGAAAAGCAGCAGGUUAAUACCCCGCUGUUCUGACGGUACCCAAAGAAUAAGCACCGGCUAACUUCGUG